ACUAACUAGGAUUCCCUUAGUAGCGGCGAGCGAACAGGGAAAAGCCCAGCACUGAAUCGCGCGGCCCACCGGGACGCUGCGAAAUGUAGUGUUUGGGAGGGUCCAUUAUUCCGCGGUCUGGCGAUGCGUCCAAGUCCUUCUUGAACGGGGCCACUUACCCAUAGAGGGUGCCAGGCCCGUAGUGACCGUCACCGGCUGCGGAAGGAUCUCUCCUUAGAGUCGGGUUGCUUGAGAGUGCAGCCCUAAGUGGGUGGUAAACUCCAUCUAAGGCUAAAUAUAACCACGAGACCGAUAGCGAACAAGUACCGUGAGGGAAAGUUGAAAAGAACUUUGAAGAGAGAGUUCAAUAGUACGUGAAACCGUUUAAGGGUAAACCUGAGAAACCCGAAAGUUCGAACGAGGAGAUUCAGUGUGUCUCGUCGGGUGCGAGCAGUGUUUGGUAGACAGUUGUCGUUCGCGGCGAUUGCUCCUUAUGUUGCCGUUGCUUGGCGAACGCAUGCACUUCUCCUCCAGUAGGACGUCGCGACCCGUUGGGUGUCGGUCUGAGGCCCGCAGUGGAGCCCGUGCGUCGGUUUCGGCCGUGCGUGCGGACCUGUGGUGUCCCGUCCGGCUGCUCGACGGUAGACUAGAGGCGCAGAGCCGCGACUAGCUCGCGUUCGGCCCGAUGCAAGCGCGGCCGGUUACUCGAACGUCGGACUUGUGCCGAUUUCGGGGCCGGUCGACUGUUGGUGUCGGUGUUCCCGAACAGACUCUGUACACGCCUGUCAGCGGCGCUAUAGCUUUGGGUACUUUCAGGGCCCGUCUUGAAACACGGACCAAGGAGUCUAGCAUGUGCGCGAGUCAUUGGGACUAUCGAAUCCUAAAGGCGUAAUGAAAGUGAAGGCUGAGCCUGCUCUGUCGAGGGAAGAUGGGUGACUUAACCGUUGCCUCGCAUUCCCGGGGCGUCUCAUUCUCAUUGCGAGAAGAGGCGCACCUAGAGCGUACAUGCUGGGACCCGAAAGAUGGUGAACUAUGCCUGGUCAGGACGAAGUCAGGGGAAACCCUGAUGGAGGUCCGUAGCGAUUCUGACGUGCAAAUCGAUCGUCGGAACUGGGUAUAGCUGCGAAAGACUAAUCGAACCAUCUAGUAGCUGGUUCCCUCCGAAGUUUCCCUCAGGAUAGCUGGCGCUCGUAUUACGAGUUUCAUCCGGUAAAGCGAAUGAUUAGAGGCAUUGGGGUCGAAACGUCCUCAACCUAUUCUCAAACUUUAAAUGGGUGAGAUCUCCGGCUUGCUUAAAAGUCUUUGACUUGAAGCCGCGAGAAUGAACGAAUCAGAG
This 1315-nucleotide ribosomal RNA is filed under the name Gyrophaena sp. DDM0460. Its description in RNAcentral is "eukaryotic LSU rRNA". It matches the Rfam family "Eukaryotic large subunit ribosomal RNA", at positions 64 to 1121 of the family's 3401-position model. Lineage: Eukaryota; Metazoa; Arthropoda; Insecta; Coleoptera; Staphylinidae. The record is from RNAcentral.